AGUGAACGCUGGCGGUAGGCCUAACACAUGCAAGUCGAACGGCAGCACAGUAAGAGCUUGCUCUUACGGGUGGCGAGUGGCGGACGGGUGAGGAAUACAUCGGAAUCUACUUUUUCGUGGGGGAUAACGUAGGGAAACUUACGCUAAUACCGCAUACGACCUACGGGUGAAAGCAGGGGAUCUUCGGACCUUGCGCGAUUGAAUGAGCCGAUGUCGGAUUAGCUAGUUGGCGGGGUAAAGGCCCACCAAGGCGACGAUCCGUAGCUGGUCUGAGAGGAUGAUCAGCCACACUGGAACUGAGACACGGUCCAGACUCCUACGGGAGGCAGCAGUGGGGAAUAAUGGACAAUGGGCGCAAGCCUGAUCCAGCCAUACCGCGUGGGUGAAGAAGACCUUCGGGUUGUAAAGCCCUUUUGUUGGGAAAGAAAAGCAGCAGGUUAAUACCCCGCUGUUCUGACGGUACCCAAAGAAUAAGCACCGGCUAACUUCGUG
Molecule: ribosomal RNA, 492 nt
Filed under: uncultured bacterium
Lineage: Bacteria
Description: partial 16S ribosomal RNA
Rfam family: Bacterial small subunit ribosomal RNA
Source: RNAcentral